AUGUAAGCAACUUUUCACUUUUUAGGUUCAUUCAAUAAAUGAUGCAUGUGGUCCAUAUUAUAGACCGCAUACAUCAUUUAUUGAAUGAACCUAAAAAGUAAAAAGUUGCUUACAU
This is a microRNA precursor of Medicago truncatula (barrel medic), 115 nucleotides long. It matches the Rfam family "MIR2593 microRNA precursor family". Lineage: Eukaryota; Viridiplantae; Streptophyta; Magnoliopsida; Fabales; Fabaceae. The record is from Rfam.